RNAcentral lists this transfer RNA (87 nucleotides) under Strigamia maritima. It matches the Rfam family "tRNA". Rfam says of the family: Transfer RNA (tRNA) molecules are approximately 80 nucleotides in length. The record is from Rfam by way of RNAcentral. Lineage: Eukaryota; Metazoa; Arthropoda; Chilopoda; Geophilomorpha; Linotaeniidae.
UUCCCAGUGGCGUAAUUGGUAGCGCACCGUACUUAUAAUCAGUAUUAGGUGAUGCGGUGGUUGUGGGUUCGAGCCCCACCUGGGGAA